UGGGGAAUUUUGGACAAUGGGCGAAAGCCUGAUCCAGCAAUGCCGCGUGUGUGAAGAAGGCCUUCGGGUUGUAAAGCACUUUUUGUCCGGAAAGAAAUCCUUGGCUCUAAUACAGUCGGGGGAUACGGUACCGGAAGAAUAAGCACCGGCUAACUACGUGCCAGCAGCCGCGGUAAUACGUAGGGUGCAAGCGUUAAUCGGAAUUACUGGGCGUAAAGCGUGCGCAGGCGGUUUUGCUAAGACCGAUGUGAAAUCCCCGGGCUCAACCUGGGAACUGCAUUGGUGACUGGCAGGCUAGAAGUAUGGCAGUAGGGGGGUUAGAAUUCCACGUGUAGCAGUGAAAAUGCCGUAGAGAUGUGGAGGAAUACCGAUGGCGAAGGCAGCCCCC
Molecule: ribosomal RNA, 388 nt
Filed under: uncultured bacterium
Lineage: Bacteria
Description: partial 16S ribosomal RNA
Rfam family: Bacterial small subunit ribosomal RNA
Source: RNAcentral